Fundulus heteroclitus (mummichog) is the source of this 385-nucleotide long non-coding RNA. RefSeq lists it as uncharacterized. The transcript has 2 exons. The record is from RefSeq and is a predicted model, not a curated record. NCBI's taxonomy places the organism in Eukaryota, Metazoa, Chordata, Actinopteri, Cyprinodontiformes, Fundulidae.
CCUUGUAAAACACACCAAACCACCGGCUGCUUGUGAUCUCGUCGCAAGCUCCAACAAUGCUGGAGCUAGAAAUCCCACGGACCAAACAAUCCCUCCCCCUCACCUUGAUGUCUCUGCAGCUGGAUGAAAACCCCACCUGGAGGGCAGCCUAGGGAGUGAGGCUUUGGUGGCGGACACUUGGCGCCCUCGACAGAGUGCUUUGUCUCCAGAUCCCUGAACAGAUCUUCUUCAAAUGCAGGAUUAUAGCAGUGCUGUGGGCAAUCAGAGCCCCAGAGCUCCACUGGAAGGGGAGGAUGCCAAAAGCCACCAUGCAAGAUGCCCAAUGGGAUUAAACGGAAAGCCGUCGGGAGCAUUGAUGUCUACUUAAAAAAAAAAAAAAAAAAAA